RNAcentral lists this non-coding RNA (45 nucleotides) under Trichobilharzia regenti. Lineage: Eukaryota; Metazoa; Platyhelminthes; Trematoda; Strigeidida; Schistosomatidae. The record is from RNAcentral.
AUUCGGUUGAUGGGUCCAAAAUGGGACGAAAUGUGCAUCCUGGAU